RNAcentral lists this ribosomal RNA (291 nucleotides) under uncultured bacterium. Its description in RNAcentral is "partial 16S ribosomal RNA". It matches the Rfam family "Bacterial small subunit ribosomal RNA", at positions 505 to 796 of the family's 1533-position model. The record is from RNAcentral.
GUGCCAGCAGCCGCGGUAAGACGAAGGUGGCUAGCGUUAUUCGGAUUUACUGGGCAUAAAGCGCGCGUAGGCGGCUCGACAAGUCGGAGGUGAAAGCCUGCAGCUCAACUGCGGUGUGCCUCCGAAACUGUCGAGCUUGAGUGCGGGAGGGGUGAUUGGAACUCCAGGUGUAGCGGUGAAAUGCGUAGAUAUCUGGAGGAACACCAGAGGCGAAGGCGAAUCACUGGACCGCAACUGACGCUGAGGCGCGAAAGCUAGGGGAGCAAACAGGAUUAGAUACCCCCGUAGUCC